AACGAACGCUGGCGGCAUGCCUAACACAUGCAAGUCGAACGAGACCUUCGGGUCUAGUGGCGCACGGGUGCGUAACGCGUGGGAACCUGCCCUUAGGUUCGGAAUAACUCCCCGAAAGGGGUGCUAAUACCGGUUAAUGUCUUCGGACCAAAGAUUUAUCGCCUUUGGAUGGGCCCGCGUUGGAUUAGCUAGUUGGUAGGGUAAAAGCCUACCAAGGCGACGAUCCAUAGCUGGUCUGAGAGGAUGAUCAGCCACACUGGGACUGAGACACGGCCCAGACUCCUACGGGAGGCAGCAGUGGGGAAUAUUGGACAAUGGGCGAAAGCCUGAUACAGCAAUGCCGCGUGAGUGAUGAAGGCCUUAGGGUUGUAAAGCUCUUUUACCCGGGAUGAUAAUGACAGUACCGGGAGAAUAAGCUCCGGCUAACUCCGUG
This 433-nucleotide ribosomal RNA is filed under the name uncultured bacterium. RNAcentral describes it as "partial 16S ribosomal RNA". It matches the Rfam family "Bacterial small subunit ribosomal RNA", at positions 29 to 507 of the family's 1533-position model. The record is from RNAcentral.